CUGACCUCAAAUCAGGUAGGACUACCCGCUGAACUUAAGCAUAUCAAUAAGCCGGAGGAAAAGAAACUAACCAAGGAUUCCCCUAGUAACUGCGAGUGAAGCGGGAAAAGCUCAAAUUUAAAAUCUGGCGGUCUUUGGCCGUCCGAGUUGUAGUCUGGAGAAGUGCUUUCCGCGCUGGACCGUGUACAAGUCUCUUGGAACAGAGCGUCAUAGAGGGUGAGAAUCCCGUCUUUGACACGGACUACCAGUGCUUUGUGAUGCGCUCUCAAAGAGUCGAGUUGUUUGGGGAAUGCAGCUCAAAAUGGGUGGUGAAUUCCAUCUAAAGCUAAAUAUUGGCGAGAGACCGAUAGCGAACAAGUACCGUGAGGGAAAGAUGAAAAGCACUUUGGAAAGAGAGUUAAACAGUACGUGAAAUUGCUGAAAGGGAAACGCUUGAAGUCAGUCGCGUCGUCCGAAACUCAGCCUUCCUUCGGGUUGGUGCACUUUUCGGAUGACGGGCCAGCAUCGAUUUUGACCCGCUGGAGAAGGGCUGGAGGAAGGUGGCACCCUCGGGUGUGUUAUAGCCUCUAGUCGCAUACAGCGGUUGGGAUCGAGGAACGCAGCACGCCUUAUGGCUGGGGUUUUCCCACAUUCGUGCC
RNAcentral lists this ribosomal RNA (638 nucleotides) under Trametes hirsuta. RNAcentral's name for it is "eukaryotic LSU rRNA". It matches the Rfam family "Eukaryotic large subunit ribosomal RNA", at positions 1 to 619 of the family's 3401-position model. Lineage: Eukaryota; Fungi; Basidiomycota; Agaricomycetes; Polyporales; Polyporaceae. The record is from RNAcentral.